Molecule: long non-coding RNA, 251 nt
Filed under: Elaeis guineensis (African oil palm)
Lineage: Eukaryota; Viridiplantae; Streptophyta; Magnoliopsida; Arecales; Arecaceae
Description: long non-coding RNA (EGUI_LNC058305)
Source: RNAcentral
UUUGGUGUGCAUGCGAAGUAGAGGGUCAGUACAUCCAGGCCUCCGUGAAGAUUUACAUCAGAUAGUUUGGGAUUUGAUCUUUGGUUCUACUAUGAUUCAGAUAAGGAUUUGAUCCUUAAAUAAGUAGAAUAUUAAAAAAAAAAUUAGAUGCAACCUGGACAUUCUAGAGGGAAACUGUUCCCUUUCUUUCACUAAUUUGAUUUUGGUUAGGAAUCCAAUUGCUCCUCUAUUUAAGAGGUCCUUUCCUAAGU